This 250-nucleotide ribosomal RNA is filed under the name uncultured bacterium. RNAcentral's name for it is "partial 16S ribosomal RNA". It matches the Rfam family "Bacterial small subunit ribosomal RNA", at positions 524 to 773 of the family's 1533-position model. The record is from RNAcentral.
UACGUAGGGGGGCAAGCGUUGUCCGGAAUUAUUGGGCGUAAAGAGCGUGUAGGCGCCAGGUAGGUCCGUUGUGAAAACUCGAGGCUCAACCUCGAGACGUCGACGGAAACCAUCUGGCUAGAGUCCGGAAGAGGAGAGUGGAAUUCCUGGUGUAGCGGUGAAAUGCGCAGAUAUCAGGAGGAACACCUAUUGCGAAGGCAGCUCGCUGGGACGUUACUGACGCUGAGACGCGAAAGCGUGGGGAGCAAAC